Molecule: ribosomal RNA, 253 nt
Filed under: uncultured bacterium
Lineage: Bacteria
Description: partial 16S ribosomal RNA
Rfam family: Bacterial small subunit ribosomal RNA
Source: RNAcentral
GACAGAGGGUGCAAACGUUGCUCGGAAUUACUGGGCGUAAAGCGCGUGUAGGUGGUCACGCAAGUCAGGUGUGAAAGCCCAGGGCUCAACCCUGGAAGUGCACAUGAUACUACGUGGCUGGAGUACUGAAGAGGAGAGCGGAAUUCCCGGUGUAGAGGUGAAAUUCGUAGAUAUCGGGAGGAACACCAGUGGCGAAGGCGGCUCUCUGGGCAGAUACUGACACUGAGACGCGGAAGCGUGGGUAGCAAACAGG